RNAcentral lists this unclassified non-coding RNA (356 nucleotides) under Hevea brasiliensis (rubber tree). The record is from RNAcentral. Lineage: Eukaryota; Viridiplantae; Streptophyta; Magnoliopsida; Malpighiales; Euphorbiaceae.
GACGUUACGUCCAAAGCCUUUAUCCACUUUCAAACUACUUCCUUUCCAAAACCCUAAACCAUUCUUCACUCUAUCUCCGGCGAAAUCUUCCCGAUGGGUCUCCUCUCAUGGUGGAAAGGCCAACCUCCGCCAUCGGACUCCAAUCCGAAGUCGCAGCCUCCUCCGAAGAAUGUCUCUCAGCCUGCCGAAGUCCCCGGCCUGAAUGGCGCCGUCGAAGUUCCCCGGCCGGCCGCCUCUGUGACGGUCUUCGAGUUCGGCUCCGUCUCCUCUUCCUCCGAUAAGGUCACUCUCGCCGGAUACUGCCCCGUCUCCGACGACCUUGAGCCCUGCCGCUGGGAGAUUCUGCCGGCAAGCGG